RNAcentral lists this ribosomal RNA (1430 nucleotides) under uncultured organism. RNAcentral's name for it is "16S ribosomal RNA". It matches the Rfam family "Bacterial small subunit ribosomal RNA". The record is from RNAcentral.
GCGGCGUGCUUAACACAUGCAAGUCGAACGGAAAGGCCCUGCUUUUGUGGGGUGCUCGAGUGGCGAACGGGCGAGUAACACGUGAGUAACCUGCCCUUGACUUUGGGAUAACUUCAGGAAACUGGGGCUAAUACCGGAUAGGAGCUCCUGCUGCAUGGUGGGGGUUGGAAAGUUUCGGCGGUUGGGGAUGGACUCGCGGCUUAUCAGCUUGUUGGUGGGGUAGUGGCUUACCAAGGCUUUGACGGGUAGCCGGCCUGAGAGGGUGACCGGCCACAUUGGGACUGAGAUACGGCCCAGACUCCUACGGGAGGCAGCAGUGGGGAAUAUUGCACAAUGGGCGGAAGCCUGAUGCAGCAACGCCGCGUGCGGGAUGACGGCCUUCGGGUUGUAAACCGCUUUCGCCUGUGACGAAGCGUGAGUGACGGUAAUGGGUAAAGAAGCACCGGCUAACUACGUGCCAGCAGCCGCGGUGAUACGUAGGGUGCGAGCGUUGUCCGGAUUUAUUGGGCGUAAAGGGCUCGUAGGUGGUUGAUCGCGUCGGAAGUGUAAUCUUGGGGCUUAACCCUGAGCGUGCUUUCGAUACGGGUUGACUUGAGGAAGGUAGGGGAGAAUGGAAUUCCUGGUGGAGCGGUGGAAUGCGCAGAUAUCAGGAGGAACACCAGUGGCGAAGGCGGUUCUCUGGGCCUUUCCUGACGCUGAGGAGCGAAAGCGUGGGGAGCGAACAGGCUUAGAUACCCUGGUAGUCCACGCUGUAAACGGUGGGUACUAGGUGUGGGGUCCAUUCCACGGGUUCCGUGCCGUAGCUAACGCUUUAAGUACCCCGCCUGGGGAGUACGGCCGCAAGGCUAAAACUCAAAGGAAUUGACGGGGCCCCGCACAAGCGGCGGAGCAUGCGGAUUAAUUCGAUGCAACGCGUAGAACCUUACCUGGGUUUGACAUGGAUCGGGAGUGCUCAGAGAUGGGUGUGCCUCUUUUGGGGUCGGUUCACAGGUGGUGCAUGGCUGUCGUCAGCUCGUGUCGUGAGAUGUUGGGUUAAGUCCCGCAACGAGCGCAACCCUUGUUCACUGUUGCCAGCACGUUAUGGUGGGGACUCAGUGGAGACCGCCGGGGUCAACUCGGAGGAAGGUGGGGAUGACGUCAAGUCAUCAUGCCCCUUAUGUCCAGGGCUUCACGCAUGCUACAAUGGCUGGUACAGAGAGUGGCGAGCCUGUGAGGGUGAGCGAAUCUCGGAAAGCCGGUCUCAGUUCGGAUUGGGGUCUGCAACUCGACCUCAUGAAGUCGGAGUCGCUAGUAAUCGCAGAUCAGCAACGCUGCGGUGAAUACGUUCCCGGGGCUUGUACACACCGCCCGUCAAGUCAUGAAAGUUGGUAACACCCGAAGCCGGUGGCCUAACCGUUGUGGGGGAGCCGUCGAAGGUGGGACUGGUGAUU